RNAcentral lists this ribosomal RNA (329 nucleotides) under uncultured Streptococcus sp. RNAcentral's name for it is "bacterial SSU rRNA". It matches the Rfam family "Bacterial small subunit ribosomal RNA", at positions 1051 to 1382 of the family's 1533-position model. Lineage: Bacteria; Bacillati; Bacillota; Bacilli; Lactobacillales; Streptococcaceae. The record is from RNAcentral.
GUCGUCAGCUCGUGUCGUGAGAUGUUGGGUUAAGUCCGCAACGAGCGCAACCCCUAUUGUUAGUUGCCAUCAUUCAGUUGGGCACUCUAGCGAGACUGCCGGUAAUAAACCGGAGGAAGGUGGGGAUGACGUCAAAUCAUCAUGCCCCUUAUGACCUGGGCUACACACGUGCUACAAUGGUUGGUACAACGAGUUGCGAGUCGGUGACGGCGAGCUAAUCUCUUAAAGCCAAUCUCAGUUCGGAUUGUAGGCUGCAACUCGCCUACAUGAAGUCGGAAUCGCUAGUAAUCGCGGAUCAGCACGCCGCGGUGAAUACGUUCCCGGGCCUU